AGGACGAACGCUGGCGGCGUGCCUAACACAUGCAAGUCGAACGCGCUCCAUUCGGUAGCAAUACUGAUGAAGAGUGAGUGGCGAACGGGUGAGUAACACAUGAGCAACCUGCCCCGAAGACUGGGACAACACCGGGAAACCGGUGCUAAUACCGGAUAUCCCUAUCGGACCGCAUGAUCUGAUAAGGAAAUGGAUUCCGCUUCGGGAGGGGCUCGUGGCCUAUCAGCUAGUUGGUGAGGUAACGGCUCACCAAGGCAUCGACGGGUAGCUGGUCUGAGAGGACGAUCAGCCACACUGGGACUGAGACACGGCCCAGACUCCUACGGGAGGCAGCAGUGGGGAAUCUUGCGCAAUGGGCGAAAGCCUGACGCAGCAACGCCGCGUGGAGGACGAAGGCUUUCUGAGUUGUAAACUCCUUUCAGCAGGGACGAUAGUGACGGUACCUGCAGAGAAGCACCGGCCAACUACGCGCCAGCA
This 477-nucleotide ribosomal RNA is filed under the name uncultured bacterium. RNAcentral's name for it is "SSU rRNA". It matches the Rfam family "Bacterial small subunit ribosomal RNA", at positions 26 to 513 of the family's 1533-position model. The record is from RNAcentral.